AAGUGGAGCUGGGUGUGGCAACUCAUGCCUGUAAUCCCAGCACUUCGGGAGGCUAAGGCAGGAGGAUCACUUGAGGCCAGAAGUUCGGGACCAGCCUGAGCAAGAAGGAGUCUCUCCCCUAUGGUCACCACCACUCCAGGCCUGCAGCAAGUACUGCCUGGCUACCACUGAUGUUCAUUCAAGGCCUAAAGACUCUUCAGUCAGCUUCUGGUGAACACUGCCAGCCCUGAGUCUCUUUAGGGCAGUGGGCUCCCUCUGGCCCAGGGAAGGUCCAAAGAUGCUGUUCAGGAGCUAGUCUGGAACUGAGUAUGCCAGGAACCCACUUGGUGUUCUACCCCACCAUAGCCAUGCUGGUAUCCAAGGUACAAAACAAAGUCCCUUUACUCUUCUUUCUCUUUUCCUCAGCAGGAAUCUCUCUCCAUGGCCACCAUAGCUGGGAAUGUGCUGGGUCACAUCUGAAGCCAGCACAGCCCUGAGUCUUACCCAAGGCCCACGGCAAGUACUGCCUGGGUACCAGUGAUGUCAAAACUGAAGGUUUCUUUAGUCAAUAUUUUCCUUUAACUACCUAAUAUGCUUAUUCUUCCCGAUUCCAACACUCUCUUCUAGAACAGUAGUUAAAGCUCUCGAAGACAUGUCUUCAGACUAGCUAUUGAAAACCUCAAGAGAAAAGUGUUCCACACUCUUAGCUGAAUUAUUAAAAAUGAAAUCUAGCAGCUAGAUAGCCUCUGAGGACAGGUAUAGACAAAACACUGGUUCAGAUUGCUAUAGGUCAAAUCACUUCACAUGCUGUGGCUCUAUUCUGUCAUCAGUUCGCAUGGGUCAAGGGCUAUUUAACAUCACCACUGAACCUGUAAGGAAUAACAGAAAAGGGAGAACAGGCUCAGGACUGGAUACCAGCUCAGCCACAGUAGAAUACGGUAUCAUACAGAGAUGCCAAAUGAACAGAGCCAACUUCAUUCUUAACCCUUCUAUUCUACUUCAGCAAAAUCCAGUACAAUUCAACCAAAACAUGUACUAAGAAUCUAUUACAUUGAGUCCAUGAAAUUGGUGCUACCAAGGACACAAAAAUAACUGAGACACGAUCCCUGACUCCAAGGACUUCACUUCUAACUGAUAGGCACUACAGGCAUAAGCAAUUAGAGCAAAAAGAGGAUAUGGACAGUGAAAUAACAGAGUUACAACGUAUCAAUGGAACACCUAAGAAGUGGGGAGACUUCUUGAGUAACUAUAAGGAAACGUUCAAAAAGUUCAUUGAGUUGUACCUUAAUGGAUGGUGGACUUCCUCCAUUGAAUAGGAGGAAUGGGAAGGGGGCUUCUUGUUUACAAUGGGGUAGUGCCAGUCUGUUUGCUCCAAUUUUUUCACUGAGAACUACAAAAUGAAUAUGAACUAUAUUAUAAAACAUUGUAAAAGCAUCAAAGAAUUGACAAGAUAGUAAGGCCGAAACUGAAGUAAAAACAAUCAAAGAACUAAAGGUGUUUUUGCCCUGAGAGUAUUUUGCCUAUUCUGGAAAUUAUUGUGGAAAUGAACUUUUGUUUUGAUAGCCCUAUUCGGCUUAAGAUAAUUACAUAUAUCAUAGAAGAACUGCCUGAAGAAAGGACAAGAUAGUAGAACAGAAAACAAAAGGCUGAAACUGAGUCCCACACCUAGCUGUGCAGAAGAGAUACAUUCUGCAACAUUAGGAUGAAAGGCUGCAUCAGGUGUGGGGAGGAUAUAUUCCCACACUUACAGCAUAUGCUGGUCCCUACCUUUCUUUCCUCACAAUACAGCAACCCGGGGGGGGAUUUCUUUUCCAUAAACUACAAGCAAAACUUGCUGUGCAACCUUGCUUUCCAAUUCCACCAACUGGUAAUAGCAUUAACUUCCCAACAUGCAACUUGGACACUUACAAAGGAAGAACAAUUUUUAUAGGUGUCCAGAUCCAAAGGCAAUGUGAAAAUUACAUGUAAUCAAAACUACUUGUAGAAAAUCUUUAAAUUGUCCAUUAAGUAUAGUAUCUGAAGUUUCAUGUCUAUAACCUACAAUAUUGUCAUAUGAGAAAGAUAUAUAUUUGGUCUCUGCCCCUGGUUCCUGGCAAACAGCUCCUAAAAUGCUUGGAAUCUCUGAAGUGAAGAGGAUCUUUGGUAGGCUAACGAAAUGCCUAGUGGCUGGAGGCAUGUAGGCAGCUUCAGGAGGGGGGCUGGUGACCAGAAAGACCAAAGCAUGAUUGGAGGGUUGGGACUUUCAGCCCCAGCCCUCAAUCUCCAGGGAGAGGAGAAGGGUUGAUGGUUGAGCCGAUCACCAGUAGCCACUGAUUUAAUCAAAUAUGCCUAACUAAUAAAGCCGUCAUUAAAAUGGAUGGAGUUCAGUGACCUUCAGAGAAUUUAAAAAAGAUACCAAAUGAGAGCUCAUCAACUUUCUGCUACCAAACCUACAAGCAAACUGGCUACUGCAACCAUCUUUUCUUCCUUCCUCCCUGUAACAAUGAAGACCGGUCUCUCUUACCUAAAGCUAAUCCUUCUACCUAGGAUUAAGAACCCAUCCCCUUCUGCCUUUGUUAAUUAUUCAAUCUCUCCUAUAACUUCAAUCCCAAGCUUUUCCGUGGCUACUUCCCAUACAACGUAAACAUGUUCAAGUCUCUCUCAUCUUGUAAAAGAAAAGCAGGGAAAAAAAAUCCAACCUUUUAUCAUAGUCCACCUACCCGCAUUCUCCCUCAUCUAACAGCUAUACCGCCUUGUCCUAGAGAAAUACCAUGAAAUGCACUACGAGUAGGGGAGGGUAACCACAAGGAAGAGAGGCACCACAGGGAGCUGCGGAGGCAAUAUUACAACUAAGAUCAUUUUGAAACAAUGAGUGAGAAUCAGGUGAGGCAACGGAUGGGCAGGGUGCAAAUGCAAAGGCAUAUGGCCACAGAAGGGUACCGGGCCUCUAAAAGGAAAAGAAAAUAGUUCAGGGCUUCCAUUAAAUGGCAAAUUUAUUAGAGAUAGGAUCUUGCUCUGUCGCCCAGGCUGGAGUGCAGUGACCCAAUCAUAUCUCUCUACAGCCUUGAACUUCUGGGCUCAAGCAAUCCUCCUGCUUCAGCCUCCUGAGUAGCUAAGAUUACAAGUGUGAGCCACAGCAACUGGCUCACACUGUUAUCCCUCCCAAAAUUCCUUACUAAUAACAGCAAAGAAAUAAUAAUUUUUUUAAAAAAGCAUAAAUGUGUAAGAACAAAUAGGAGAGAAGAUAAAAAACAUGUCAACAUUUGAAGAGAUGUAAAAUCCAUCAAUAAAUGAUAACAAAUUCAGUGUAUCUGCAAAAACUGAAACCUAAAUCUAAAGUGAAAGAGAAAGAAGUGAGUUCAUUCACAGAGGCCGGAGAAACUGGGGAAUGAAAAGCAUUAAGUACCUUUGAGAAUGGCGUUGAAGGGCAAAAAGAAAAAAGAGAAAGACUGGUUAAGACUAUAAAGACUAUAAAGCCAGGCAUCCACAGCAGAAAGCUACAGGUCUACCUUGUGAGAGAAAGACCAAAGAUGUUCUGGAUUCAGGAACAUGAGGCAUGACACUGAUGACUAGGUCACAGCAGUACAUUAAAAACAAACAAAUAGCAACAACAAAAGCAUGGACAUACAGAGCAGUGGGAGCCCAAGUUCCCACCAAAUCUCCCAGGCAGGAGAUUUGAGAAUUCUUCUCUGGGAAAUGGAUUCAGAUGCUGACAUUAAAGGUUAUCCAACAAAAUGAUAGCCAUUGCUUGAUGAAAGCCCCAGUCAUGUACGUGAAUUUCCAAAUCCACAUGUAAUAUUUCAUUCUGAAAUAGGAACAGACAACCAAGGCCCACCAGAUAUAUGAAAAGCACCUCUAUAAUAAAAGAGAGGGGGUGGGGGAAGGAGGAAGAAGCAAAAGUGGAAAAAAAAAAAGGACCUUAAAAGAAGAAAAAGGAGAAAACUUUACUAAUCUUAAAAAGAUAUUAUAUUUCUAAAAUAUAACAGACUUCCCUAAAAUGAAAAUUCAAUAAAUAAGGCAAAACUUAACUGUGAUAAAUUUAUUAAAGGACCCUGUGGAAAUAGUAGACAAUACAUGUAAAAAGAUGGGAAAGAGAUGGAAGCUAUUGUUGAAAAAGAGCCAGUAGAAAUGUGAGAUAUGAAAAUUAGACAAGAAAUUAAGACUUCCUUUAAGAAGUUUAUCAGCAGGUGGACACAGUAGAGGAAAAAUAAAACCAGUGAACUUUACCAUAAUUAAAUAGAAAUUAUGCAAACUGAAACACAAAUGGGGGAAAAAAAAGACUAGAAAAAAAAAACAGAGCAUUCAGUAGCCAUGAGACAAUCAAAUACACAUAUAAUUAGAAACCCAAAAGGAGAAGACAGGAAACAAUGUAAGUACUUUUAAAGAAAAACAAAAAACAAAAAACAAAAAAAACCUUUCAAUCUAGAAUCCACUAGCUAAUAAAAGUGGAGAAUAGCUUUCAAAUAGAAAGGGCUGUGUGGGACAAGUCCUAACAUGUAUGAUAAAUUAUAUUAUUUGCUAAGAACGAUGGCAAGGAAAACUGAGCCAGCAACCCAAGCGGAAAACUGCUUAGAACAUUUUAAAGUAGCAAAACUGUAUAUGUAUAUCAUAUACCAGUUAAAACAAUUCUUUAAGCAUGGGAUAUGUGACCCUGCCCUGUGGCUCCCUCAUGGAGAAUACUUUCUAGUCUGUCUUUGAUCAGUGUUAUGCAGGUACUAGCUACCUGCUUGGUUUAUUUUUGUUCUAUGAGAAAACACAAAACACCUGGUUGUUAAUAAUCACCUGUUUAGAGAGAAUAAAUUUGUGGGUCAGAAUCUGCUCAAGCCUCUCAGCUCUGAAGGCUUCUUAGCCCUUGAGGCUCUCAGCUCGGAAGGCUGUUAGCCCUCUGAUAGUUCCACUUUGCACUCUUACCUCUGUCUGUUUCUUAAUUCCUUCAGUGCCACCUGGGUUGGGGUUUCUUCAACCAAGUGGUCUUGGUAGUGCUGGGCAUGGUGGCUCACACUUGUAAUCCCAGAACUUCGGGAGGCCAAGGUGAGCAGAUCACUUGAAGGCAGGAGUUUGAGACCAGCCUGGCCAACAUGGUGAAACCCUGUCUCUACUAAGAAUACAAAAAUUAGCCAGGCAUGGUGGCACACCCUGUAAUCCCACCUACUUGAGAGGCUGAGACAGGAGAAUCACUUGAAGAAGGGAAGCAGAGGUUGCAGUGAGCUGAGAUCGUGCUACUGCACUCCAACCUUGGCAACAAGGUGAGGCUCCAUCUCAAAAAAAAGAAAACAGGCAAAUAUAUCAUAGGCCAAGGGAAAAUAAUAACAGACAGAAACAUCAGAAAGGGCAAAAAUGAUACAAACACAUAAACACACAAAAUUUAUUUAAAAGAGCCGAGUAGAAAUACUUAAAAUCAUAAUUAUACUAUAGCAUUGAUAACAUAUACAGAGUUAAAAUAUAUCUGAAAACAAAAGAGAAAGAGGGAGAUAAUUGGAAGGAUACUGUUGUAACUUUCUUAAGCUGUGAACUAAUAAGAUGUAUUUUGAAAGUAAAGUGUGAUAACUUAAAGAUGGAUAUUUUAAUCACUAGAACAAUCACCAAAAAACACAAAAAAGGUAUAGCCAAAAAUUCAACAGAGGAAAUAAAAUGAAAUAGUAAAAAUACUUGAUGCACCCAAAAGAUGAUAGGAAGAACAGAGGGACAAAGAGCAGACAGGACAAAAUGAAAGGAAUGAAGGAAAGAAGUAAGGAGGAAGGAAGGAAGGAAGAAAAGAGAGAAAGAAAGAACAUAUUUAAAUCCAAGCAUUGUUAAUAACUGCAUUAAAUGUAAAUGAACUAAAUACUUCUCAAAAAAAGACAGAGACUGACAGAUUGGAAUGUUUCUUAAGUCUCAAUUAUGAGCUAUACACGAGAACAUAUACUUCAAAUAUAAUAUACAGACAGGUUAAAAGCACUUUAUCUUUAAAUAAAUAAAUAACUACAAAAUUUCCCACAGAGAAACUUCUGGCCAAGUCUGGUAGCUCCCUCCUGUAAUCUCAGCACAUUAGGAGGCCAAGACAGGUAGAUCACCUAAGGUCAGGAGUUCAACACCAGCCUAGCCAACAUGGUGAAAUCCUGUCUCUACUAAAAGUACAAAAAAUUAGUUGGGCAUGGAAGCACCUGUAAUCCCAGCUACUUGGGAGUCUAAGGCAGGAGAAUUGCUUGAAUCCAGGAGGUGGAGGUUGCAGUGAGCCAAAACUGUGCCACUGCACUCCAGCCAGGGAAACAAGAGGAAGACUUGGUCUCAAGAAAAAAAAAAAGAAACCUCCAAGCCCAGAUGACUUCCCUAGUAAAUUCUAUUAAUCAUUUAACUAAGAAAAAAAAAAAAAAAAUAGCAGUCUUAUACAAACUCUUUCAGAAAAGAAAGAAAAUGAAAUCACAACUCAUUUUAUGGGGCUAGCAUAACUAUGAUAAUAAAUUUAGGCAUAAACAUUACGAGAAGAGAAAAUUACAAAUAUACAGCAUGAACUUAAACAUAAAAAUCCUUAAAAAUAAUAGCAACUAGAAUCCCUCAAUAAAUAAGUUAAAUAAUGCUUCAUGACAAGUGAAGUUUGUUUAUUCUUGGAAUGAGAAGUAG
Molecule: non-coding RNA, 6558 nt
Organism: Callithrix jacchus (white-tufted-ear marmoset)
Lineage: Eukaryota; Metazoa; Chordata; Mammalia; Primates; Cebidae
Source: RefSeq, a predicted model, not a curated record